Molecule: long non-coding RNA, 871 nt
Filed under: Homo sapiens (human)
Lineage: Eukaryota; Metazoa; Chordata; Mammalia; Primates; Hominidae
Description: HSALNT0409219
Source: RNAcentral
CAUAAACAUAGGCAGCCAGCAGCCUAUGCUGCUGCUUUGCCUAUGAAGCAGCUAUUCUUUAUUCCUUUACUUUCUUAAUAUACUUCCUUUCAUUUUACUCUGUGGACUCGCCCUGAAUUCUCUCUUGCACGAGAUCCAACAACCCUCUCUUGAGGUUUGGACUGGGACCCCUUUCUGAUGGAUGUGCAUGUCAUUUGGUGCCAAAGACCCAGGUCACAGGGAUUCCUUCGGGAGACCAGGCCCCUGUCCUCACUCUCACUCCAUGAAGGGAUCCACCUAUGACCUCGAGUCCUUAGACCAACCAGCCCAAGGAACAUCUCACCAAUCUCAAAUUGGAGCCCAUCUACACACAGCAAAAUAUCUCACAAUGAAUUCCCAUCCACAGCCUCAGCAAUGGGCUGGUGUGUCCCCAGAGAAUGUCAGCUGAUUGGACAGCAGUCUGCAGGAGAAGGUGAAUCCCCUAAUUUGGAAGGAACUGAAGCAUGAAAAGAUGCUGAGAUCACAAUGAAAACAGACAAAGUCUUCUGGGGAUGAAAUGUUAAAAAGGGGAGAUGUGCAAGGAACACAGGAAGAAUAAGUUCAGGAGAUCUGUUAUACAACAUGGGGAUGAUAGUUAAUAACAAUGCAUGGUACAUUUGGGGAUUGCUAAAGGAACACCUUGUAAAGAUUUCCACCCUUCCUCUUGAAUGAUAAGUAUGAAAUGUGACGGAUAUAUUUCUUAGCUUGAUGUAGCUGUUCCACCGUGUGUGCAUAUAUCAAAACAUCACGUUGUAUCCCAUAAAUGUAUAUCGUUUAAAUUUGUUAAUUAAAAUAAUAAAUAAUAAAGAACAAUGGGAUUUUUGAAAUAAUCAAGUGUAUUUGUAAAUAUAUG